CGCCGGGGGCCCCUAAACUCUGUCUCUGUAACGUUGGCAUCUCCGAGCAGACUAUAAACGAGUCAAAACUUUCAACAACGGAUCUCUUGGUUCUGGCAUCGAUGAAGAACGCAGCGAAAUGCGAUAAGUAAUGUGAAUUGCAGAAUUCAGUGAAUCAUCGAAUCUUUGAACGCACAUUGCGCCCGCCAGCACUCUGGCGGGCAUGCCUGUCCGAGCGUCAUUUCAACCCUCAGGCCCCGCCUGGCGUUGGAGCCCUGCGCAGCGCAGGCUCCCAAAGACAGCGGCGGGCGCGCCCCGGAACCGAGCGCAGUAAUGCUUUCUCGUUCUGGUCCGGCGCGCGCUCCGGCCGUAAAACCCCCAACUUUCUAAGUGGUUGACCUCGGAUCAGGUAGGAAUACCCGCUGAACUUAAGCAUAUCAAUAAGCGGAGGAAGC
RNAcentral lists this ribosomal RNA (434 nucleotides) under Chaetosphaeriales sp. ca_besc_211a. Its description in RNAcentral is "eukaryotic LSU rRNA". The stretch from base 67 to 220 matches the Rfam family "5.8S ribosomal RNA". Lineage: Eukaryota; Fungi; Ascomycota; Sordariomycetes; Chaetosphaeriales. The record is from RNAcentral.